Pelobates cultripes (western spadefoot toad) is the source of this 390-nucleotide non-coding RNA. NCBI's taxonomy places the organism in Eukaryota, Metazoa, Chordata, Amphibia, Anura, Pelobatidae. The record is from the annotation of a GenBank genome assembly.
CUGUAGUUGUUCUGGUAACUAUGGUGUCCCUUUAAAGUAUUCUGUCCAGAUGUAUCCAGCACAGUCCAACUAACACAGAGAGGUUGUAGAAUUCCAUUUUUCUCAGUCCUCUUUCUUAUACUCCAAGUCUCUUCCAUCCCUGACCUGAUUUGCCAUUUAGCUCCUAAGCUCAAAAACUCCAGGAACCAGACAAGCUGUUCACAUAAUAAAAAAGCACAAUGUUUUGUUUUGUUAUUUCCUGGAGUUGGAGAUUGUGUCAUAGCUGCAAGCCAAGCUGGCAGCAAAAAAACAAAUACAAAGGAUAUUUACACAUGUACGGUUGUAUGAAGAAUAGACGUACGUUUAAUGUAUGUUCUUGGAAUGCCAUGUCUUGUGAUCGCUGUGACAGUC